This 549-nucleotide ribosomal RNA is filed under the name uncultured bacterium. RNAcentral describes it as "bacterial SSU rRNA". It matches the Rfam family "Bacterial small subunit ribosomal RNA", at positions 774 to 1317 of the family's 1533-position model. The record is from RNAcentral.
AGAAAAUAGAUACCCUGGUAGUCCACGCCGUAAACGAUGGGCACUAGGUGCUGGGGGGAGCGACCCCGUCAGUGCCGUAGCUAAACGCGAUAAGUGCCCCGCCUGGGGAGUACGGCCGCAAGGCUGAAACUCAAAGGAAUUGACGGGGGCCCGCACAAGCGGUGGAGCAUGUGGUUUAAAUUCGAAGCAACGCGAAGAACCUUACCUAGGUUUGACAUGCUGGUGAAAGCCUCUGGAAACAGGGGCCCUUCUUCGGAACACCAGCACAGGUGCUGCAUGGCUGUCGUCAGCUCGUGUCGUGAGAUGUUGGGUUAAGUCCCGCAACGAGCGCAACCCUUGCCCCGUGUUACUAACAGGUAAAGCUGAGGACUCUCGGGGGACUGCCGGCGUCAAGCCGGAGGAAGGUGGGGACGACGUCAAGUCAUCAUGGCCCUUACGCCUAGGGCGACACACGUGCUACAAUGGCCACGACAGAGGGCAGCAAAGCGGCAACGUGGAGCGAAUCCCAGAAACGUGGUCUAAGUUCGGAUUGUGGGCUGCAACUCGCCC